GAUGCCCCUAGAGGCUCUGCUCUGUCACAUGAGCAUCAGCAGGUGGCAAAGAGGAGAGAGAGAGGCUAUGUGCACUUUCAGUGUUCUGACCUGUGGGCAUCUGAGUGAUUAGUAGCCUAACACU
This 124-nucleotide small nucleolar RNA is filed under the name Meriones unguiculatus (Mongolian gerbil). Its description in RNAcentral is "Small nucleolar RNA SNORA17 (ENSMUGG00000024477.1)". It matches the Rfam family "Small nucleolar RNA SNORA17". From Rfam's summary of the family: snoRNA ACA 17 belongs to the H/ACA family of snoRNAs and is predicted to guide pseudouridylation of the 28S rRNA at positions U4659 and U4598. The record is from RNAcentral. Lineage: Eukaryota; Metazoa; Chordata; Mammalia; Rodentia; Muridae.